AUACGUUUAAAUUUUUGUUUUAUAUUAAAAAGUGUUCUGAAAAAAAGUCUGAUACGCCCUCUAUCCGAGAACAAUAUAUUAAAUGAAUUUUUGGAGCAGGGAGUCGGAAUAGGAGCUUGCUCCGUCCACUCCACGCAUCUACCCGGUAUUGCAGUACUUCCGGGAACGGUGUACCUCCC
RNAcentral lists this small nuclear RNA (179 nucleotides) under Notamacropus eugenii (tammar wallaby). RNAcentral's name for it is "U2 spliceosomal RNA (ENSMEUG00000016869.1)". It matches the Rfam family "U2 spliceosomal RNA". From Rfam's summary of the family: U2 is a small nuclear RNA (snRNA) component of the spliceosome (involved in pre-mRNA splicing). Complementary binding between U2 snRNA (in an area lying towards the 5' end but 3' to hairpin I) and the branchpoint sequence (BPS) of the intron results the bulging out of an unpaired adenosine, on the BPS, which initiates a nucleophilic attack at the intronic 5' splice site, thus starting the first of two transesterification reactions that mediate splicing. Lineage: Eukaryota; Metazoa; Chordata; Mammalia; Diprotodontia; Macropodidae. The record is from RNAcentral.